GGAUAUGAGGGUGAUCGGACUGACUUCUGCUGUCAUUGGUCACCAGGGUGACUCAUCUGAUCUGGGUGACGAGGCUUUGCCCCCUUCUCAUCAUGGCCCCAUUUGCAGCCCCCUGGGAGCUGCACACUGCAUCAGAAACCUUCCCCCAUAGAGAAAGAAGGGUCAUCUGUCAAGGACAAGUGGCUAGCUGAGCUCCCCUGCUAGAACCUGCACACAAGCUCUCAAGACAGGUGGAGAGUGAGGAAGGCAGACUCUUGGUGUCAACCUGAGGCCUGGGCACACACACAGGUGUGCAUUCGAACACAC
RNAcentral lists this small nuclear RNA (306 nucleotides) under Microtus ochrogaster (prairie vole). RNAcentral's name for it is "7SK RNA (ENSMOCG00000008849.1)". It matches the Rfam family "7SK RNA". Rfam says of the family: 7SK was discovered as an abundant small nuclear RNA in the mid-70s but a possible function has only recently been suggested. The record is from RNAcentral. Lineage: Eukaryota; Metazoa; Chordata; Mammalia; Rodentia; Cricetidae.